ACAACAAUCGGAUCAUCGGUCUACCGAGUAAUAUCACCCGCUCGGUGCUAGAUUUUCAUUUAGUCGU
Molecule: microRNA precursor, 67 nt
Filed under: Bombyx mori (domestic silkworm)
Lineage: Eukaryota; Metazoa; Arthropoda; Insecta; Lepidoptera; Bombycidae
Description: mir-2774 microRNA precursor family
Rfam family: mir-2774 microRNA precursor family
Source: Rfam by way of RNAcentral